Molecule: RNA transcript, 5859 nt
Organism: Parus major (Great Tit)
Lineage: Eukaryota; Metazoa; Chordata; Aves; Passeriformes; Paridae
Gene: NCLN
Gene name: nicalin
Exons: 16
Source: RefSeq, a predicted model, not a curated record
CCGCGCGGCGCGCGCCGUGCGUGCCGAGCAGGCCGCAGUGCGGGCCGGGGCCGCGGCGAUGCUGGAGGAGGCGGGUGAGGUGCUGGAGUCGGUGCUCAAGGCCUCGUGCCUCCCGCUCAGCGUCCUGCUCUUCGUGCCCGCCGUGCUCCUGCUCCUGGGGCCGCCGCCCGCCGCCGAGGCGGCGCACGAGUUCACGGUGUACCGCAUGCAGCAGUACGAGCUGGGCGGGCAGCCCUAUGGCACCAGGAGCGCGGUGCUGAACACGGAGGCGCGCACCGUGGAAGCGGACGUGCUGAGCCGCCGCUGCGUCAUGAUGCGGCUGGUGGACUUCUCCUACGAGCAGUACCAGAAGGCUCUGCGCCAGUCAGCCGGGGCUGUGGUGAUCAUCUUGCCACGAUCCAUCUCCUCUGUCCCCCAGGAUGUUGUGCGGCAAUUCAUGGAGAUAGAGCCAGAAAUGCUUGCUAUGGAAACCAUUGUGCCAGUCUACUUUGCAGUGGAAGAUGAGGAGCUGCUGUCUAUCUAUGAACAAACACGGGCUGCUUCUGCAUCACAGGGUUCUGCCUCAGCUGCAGAAGUUCUGCUGCACACAGCAACUGCCAAUGGCUUCCAGAUGGUGACCAGCGGGGCUCAAAGCAAAGCUAUCAAUGACUGGCUCAUCCCCAGUGUGGAGGGAAGGCUGACAGGGCUGGGUGGAGAAGACAUGCCCACUGUUGUGAUAGUUGCCCACUAUGAUUCCUUUGGAGUGGCUCCAUGGCUGUCCCAUGGGGCUGACUCCAAUGGCAGUGGAAUCUCAGUGCUGCUGGAACUGGCCAGGCUGUUCUCUCGGCUCUACACCUACAGAAGGACCCAUGCUGGGUAUAACUUGCUGUUCUUUGCCUCUGGAGGUGGCAAGUUUAAUUAUCAAGGAACUAAGCGGUGGCUGGAGGACAAUUUAGACCACACUGAUUCCAGCCUGCUGCAGGACAAUGUAGCAUUUGUUCUCUGCCUUGACACUCUGGGCAGAGGCAACAGCCUUCAUCUUCAUGUCUCAAAGCCUCCCAAGGAGGGCACCUUGCAGCAUGCAUUUCUGAGAGAGCUGGAGAUGGUUGUUGCCAGCCAGUUCCCAGAGGUGAAGUUUUCCAUGGUGCACAAGAAGAUUAACCUGGCUGAGGACAUGCUGGCGUGGGAGCACGAGCGGUUCGCGAUCCGGCGCUUGCCGGCGUUCACCAUCUCCCACCUGGAGAGCCACCGGGACAGCCUGCGCAACAGCAUCAUGGACAGGAGGGCACGAAUAGACACUAAAGCACUGACCAGGAAUACUCAGAUCAUUGCUGAGGCUUUGACAAGGGUCAUCUACAAUCUAACAGAAAAGGGAACACCUGCAGAUAUGCAGAUCUUCACAGAUCAGAUGCAAAUCCAGCAGGAGCAGCUGGAGUCAGUGAUGGACUGGCUGAGCAGUCAGCCCAGGGCUGCCCAGCUGAUUGAUAAAGACAGCACCUUCCUCAACACCUUAGAAUAUUAUAUGGGACGCUACCUGAAGGAUGUCAAGCAGCAUCACGUGAAGGCAGACAAACGGGACCCUGAGUUUGUUUUCUACGACCAGCUGAAGCAGGUGAUGAAUGCAUACAGGGUCAAGCCAGCAAUCUUUGACCUGCUCCUGGCUGUCUGUAUUGCAGCCUACCUUGGCGUUGCCUAUGUUGCAGUGCAGGGAAACCACAAGUAUUUGAAAACUCAGUGUAAGAAUAUAAACAAGGGAAAAAACAUACUUUGAUUUCUAUUAGCAAUCUUCAUUACUUCUGUUAUUUGAAUUUGAAAUUAUUUGAAGCCUGGAUCUUGUUCCAUCUGUCAAACAUCAAAUCAAAAUACAAUCAACCCCAGCAAAAUCAAAAGGGGAAUUAAGUGAAUUUCUAAGCCACUGUGGAAAUGGUGGAAGAGAAUAGCCAGUUAAAGACUUGUGAAUUGGUGGGAAUCUGUUUUUGCCUGGUUCAUUUUUACCUGCCUGAAACUGCUGGCAGCAGUGUUUCUGUAGAGACCAGGAGCCUGCAUGUGUUGGAAUCUGAAGCUUUCUCCUCGCUUUCAGAAGGAACAGAAUUGCAUUGAAAAAAUAAUUAAAAAAAUCUUCAGUAUGAGUUGAAACAGACCUGCACAAACACUUCUCACUUUGGUCUCCUUUACAAGAUGAUACAAAGAUUAUCCCUUAAAACCAAGCAGCAGUGAAGCACCAAGUCCCCCCACCCAGCAGCACUGAGCCAUCGGUGAGCCCAUUGGGAACCUUCUGCCUUCCACUGAAACCCUGCUGUUCCUUUUCCUUUGUCUCCUCUUUGCUACUGUAUGGAGGGGAGGAAGGCAUAAAGAAAAUGAAAUUUUAACUCUUGUGCACCUCUGAAGUGCUUUUCUUCACCUUCUUCCCCUGAGUUGCACCAUGUCUGGUUUGCCUUUGCAUUUUGGUGAGGGAGAGGCUGAGAGACUCCAGCAAUUCCUGCAGUCUGAUUUUGAGCAGCUUCUCUGAGUGUAACACAAAGUCCAGCACCAUCAUGGACACUGUCACACAGCCAGCCUGGAAACUGAAACUACAGCCUGACAGAGUGGUAUCUCUGCCCAGCACACAAGGACUUGGAGCAGUGGUUUGAAAGAAAAAAACAAAAAAGUGCACAUGCAAAUUAAAGAGAAUGCAAUUAGCAUGUUUCCUUAUGGCACCUCUUCCUUGAGUUCACUGCUGGCUUUAGGAGUUGUGCUGAGCAAGCAGUGUCUGCAGCAAGCACCUUCUUGCAUUUUGUUCAAACUUCACCCCCUUUUAGGAUGUGCACUGUGAGUGCUCUUGACUGUUAAAAUCAGGAUGAGGAAAGAUUAAGUUGGGUUUCUGGCAUGAGGGUUCUUGCCAGGGACAGGUUCUCUCCUGUCUCUCUUGGAGGAUGCAUUUUGCUGUGUGCUUGAUUUUUCUGGAGGUUUUUGGUCCUUGAACAGUUCACAGUUGCCACCACUCUGUGCUAAACUCUUGCUUGAUUUUUGAGGGGUGUUCCAUAGUCCAUAGCUGCUGCAGGAUCCCAUUCUGUGCUGUUCCAUGUACUUACACAAGCUGGUUCUGUUGAUAACAAGAGCAGUUCAGAUCUGGAAAAUAUAUUGAGAUACUACAAUCCCUAGGCUAGUUGUAGUUCUAGAAGAUAACCCUGAGCACUGCCCUGCCACCCAGCAAGUUUUGAGUCCUUUUCUGUAAUCUCUUCUAUGUACAUGAGGUCUCUUCACAAGCCACAGUGAUGCUUUUUUUUUAAAUUUAAGCUACUAUUUAUAAUUAAAGCAGUGUAUCUUACAGAGGCUGAAAAUUACUUUUGAAUUGAAGUGCACCUCUUUUUUUGUGUAUGCAAGAAAAAUUCCAGCUGUGGAUUCCUGUUUGCACACACCUGCUGUGCACAUGCCUGUUAGAAAAGGGCUUGUUGUGGCCAGUCACUGUCCUUUGGAUGGGCACCAAAGCAUUGAUUUCCAUCCUCCUUGGUUUAUUUUAUUGUAAUCUUCUAGCAGUACCCUUACCCCAUGAUGUGUCCUUUCUGCUGCUUUAAAUAAGUAGCAACUUACUCUUUGAAGAGUCUUGUCUUUUUCCAGGAGAGCCUGCUGGUGUCAGUGGCUCACCAUGGUGUCCAAGCACUCCAGAAGGAUCAGCCACACAGGGAAAUCUGCCUUUUCCUGAUUUUUUGAGUGCUCAUUUGAAAUGUGUUUCUCUGCAUGCGUGAAGUGCUCAUGGCACUCCUCUGCCAAAUGAAUUCAUAAUGACUUCAGAAGUUGCUGGAGUGGCUGGAAGGCAAGCCUUGAUUGUUUUCCCCUGGUUGGUAUAAAGUGAAGCCACAUGCCCUGGGCUGGGUAGGUUUAGAACAUGCUUGGUACAGUGGCUCUCUGAGGAACUCUGCAGGCUCUGAAUAUCUGGGAGUAAUUUGAGUCCUCCAGCUCAAACUGCAGCAUCCAUUUAUGGUGUGUUACACUUAAGGAGGUUUGUGUUCCCUCCAGCCUAGCAGAGUAUUUCACCAGUCUUAAUUAUUAACUCCAUUCCUUUGCUGAGAAAAAUAGAAAAAGAAUAUUAGCAAUGCUGCUGCAGCUUGAGUUGAUGUGUAUAAAAUAUGCCAGUAGUGGGCAAGAGCAAACAGAACAGACCUGGGGCUUGUUCCUUGCUGUGGAAACUGCCUUCAGUCUUCCAGAUGAGAAGCUCAAAGUUCAGAGUCAAAAACAUACACCCAGUCUGUUUGCAGAAGCUGUAGCACAAAGAAAACACCUUAGCUCUGUGUGGUCUCAGCAAUGAGCUGUUAACACUGAUACAGUGCCAGAAGCCAGUGGAAACAACCUAAAAAGAUGAAUAAAUGAAGAGAGUUCAUAAACCUGAAGGGCAGUUGGGAUGGUACAUUGCUCUCUCCCACACCAGGUUAGUUUGUCCUGUAAUCCUUUUGUCUCUCUCCCUGGCUGCCAGAAAAAGUAGUUUUUACAACAGAUAAAAGAGUUUCUGCUUUUGAUCAAAGUGCACGUGCACUGAAACAUAUAUGCUCAAACCUGAGAUAGUCAAAUCCCAACUUCCUCAUAGCUGGAGCAGAGUGCCCAUCCUGGGAUUGAAUUUAAAUCCAAAUUUCCUCAUAGCUGGAAUCCUGGGAUUGAAUUGUUGUUUCCUUGGGUAAGUCAACAGAGAAAUUUGCAGAGAGCCCCCAAAGCUGAUCUGCACUGCAGCAUAAGUGAUCAAUUCAGUCACCAACACAAAGCCAGAAACCCAACAGGUGUUGUGAUAAAAUAAAAGUUCUCCACAACAUAGCAGAAGAGCUCUUUGUAGCUGAUUGUUGUUGCCCUUGUUUUUACCUCUCUAUUUUUGAGGACUUGGCUUGGCCUGUAUGGAAGAGCAUGGAAAGCUUUAUAUCCACAUACACACAAGUGGCUAGCAGUUGAAACUCCUACCUAAAAAACCAUUUUCUUUGCUAUUUAUCUGACUUCACCUGUUGUCCUGGUGCUGUCAGAGUCUGCAGCUCACAAAAAAAAUGGUUUUCCAGCAGGGUUUAACUGAAGCUGUUAAUUCCUUCUGUCUGCUUCCACCUGCAUGGGCACUACUGGGAAUUGUAUGGGAGUAAUUUGGAUUAUUGUCGUUCAUCUCCCAAAUGAGAGGGCUUGGUUUAUUGUUGGGAGGGAAAUAAUACUGUGCAAUAUGAACUCCACUCCUCUACUCAGUGCAGAGAAAAUUCUGAAGCCAGAGUGGAAUUAGGUCUCCCACUCUCUGUGGCUGAAAGUCACCACAAUCUAUUUAGACAUUCAAAACCACAGCUAUACCCAAAAUUGCUGUGGGGCUUGGUUUUGAGGGUGUUUUGUUGGUUUUAAAUCUCGUGCUCUUACAUUGUUCAUGGCCCAAUCCCAAAACCCAGGCUGUUCCUGCACCCUGUGUUUAAGCUGGGUUUUACAUUUCAGAGGUUUUACAUUUUAUUUGGUCUUGUCUCACAAAUCUGAAAUGCUGGGGCUGCUCCUGGAUGUCUCAGAAAAUUGGGCCUCUGGGUACUUGAGUGUGGACUCCUGCUUGCUCACUUUGAUCUGUUUAGUUUCCAUUUGUAGUUACUGCAUAGCAACUGCAAAGUUAUAAUCUGGAAUAUUUGCAGCUCAGGAAAAAGAUUUAUCUAGUAAUGUUAACUCAAUUAUUUAUCUCUUGUGUGCCCUGAAGAACAAAUGUAUAUUGAGGUGAAUAUUUAAAAGCUAAUAGAAAAUUCAAUGCAGUUGAUUUGCAUAUUUUAGGACUAUAAAUGUAAUAAUAUUUAAGUAUUUUAACUUCUUUUUUUUAUUUGUUUGUCCCUUUUCCCCUUGGAAAAUAAACCAAGUGAAUAGGUUUGAUGGAUAGAUUUGUCAGAGAACUAUUUGCUCAAAAAAAUGGAA